RNAcentral lists this long non-coding RNA (1370 nucleotides) under Marmota monax (woodchuck). The record is from RNAcentral. Lineage: Eukaryota; Metazoa; Chordata; Mammalia; Rodentia; Sciuridae.
CUUUCUUCAUACUUAAAAGAACAAUCUGAGUAUAUAAGAAAACUGAAGUUCUAGAGUUACUGAUUCAACGCCUAACAUAUGUUCUGAAAUAAGAUGGUCUGAAUGAUAUAAAGCAUUCAGUCAGAUUAGGGAGAUAAAAUAACAAAAAGAAAUGGAAUGAAAAGUUAUUAUAGCCAAAGAUAUGCUUUGCUUUGCUACUUGCCUCCCAAAUAUAUGUGUCAAAUUUGCUUUCUUAAUUACAGACACAAAAGGGAAAUUUUUGAAUUAUGAGUGUCUACAAUUCAUGAAGUUGAGUUUGUUGCAUAAUUUGUUUUUGUUGUAUUGCACUCAAAUGGAAAAGUCUAAUGUAUGUGUCUUGUCUGUUCAGUUGCCACAGGCUGUUUGGCAAGAUAUUGAGAAUUAUUCAAGCCAAUGAACAAGUAAAUUCCCCUGCAUAAAUUAAAAGCAAAGGCAAAGAUUGAUGAAAUAAUUUGAAGCUGCCUUACGAUAAAAUCAUAAUGUAGGAAGAAGUAAAAAUUAACUAAACCUUACAGUAGCGGCCAUAGUAAUCUUCUGAUUUCAAAGAAUGAACAGUAAAACCACAGUUUAAAUAAUGUUUCAAUAUCUGAUUUUUCCCCCAAAGACAAUAUUUGCCAAUUAAAUAGUUAUGUUUAAAAUAAAUCAAUCACAUAUGUUUUCUAUAGCUUUUGGACUAAGCUAAAUGCUAGGUCAUAACAUUUAGAUUUAGUGUUCAAAGUCCAUGACAGACUCUUUAUUUAUGGUCCUCCUAAGAUUAAAUCACAAGCCAAGAACAAGUUGAUCUGGUCUUUGGAAAGUGUGGGCUACACAAGAUCCCUCAAGUUUCCAUCUUGAAUAAGUGUGAUUGAAAUGCAGCAUUAAACCUCAUGGAAGCUCUCACUUCUUUUUGUUUUGAUUUGUUUUGAUUGUCUCAGCAUUAAAGGAAUACUCAUGCUUUUAAAGGUGACUUAAGUUUUCAGGAACUUUAAGAGUUGUUGCAUUUUUAGAGGUAUAACAAUGUUAGAAAUUACUUCUACAGUACUUAAAGUGUGCACCUAGUACUGUGCUCAGUACAAUUUCUAAAAUUUUGUUAUUUUUAUCUCAUUGUACUUAUUUAUGGGGCACAUUAUUUAUGGGGCACAUUCAGUACCUGUGUACAAUGUAAGUACAAUAUAUUAACUCAAUUAAAUCCUCACACCACUACAAUGAAAUAUGAACGAUUAUUAUCUCUAUUUUACAAAUGGAGAAACUAAGGCCUGGAGAAAUUAGACAACAUGUAUCAAGUCUCUGGGCAAGUGACUGCCCCAGCAAGGACUUGCACUCUGGUAAUCUGGCUUGAUAACAGACCUCCUCCCUCUGCUGCUUCUGAAUUG